ACCUUCUCUCAGGCAGUGUUCAUGGAAUAGACUGCUGCUGGCCUUCCUGGUGUGACAGAGCUCUGGGAGAUACUGGGAUUUCUGAGGUUGGACCUUGAACAUGGGGAGUGUCAACUGUCCUCAUGAAAGGCCUUGUUCUCCUUUAGGUUGCCAGGAUUUUGUGGACGAAGUCAGAGCUCCAGGAGAAGAUGGCAGCAGAGUAGGAGGACCCUAGGCUUGUCUCAUUCCACAAACACAACUAGAUCAAAUCAUCCUAAAUACCCAAGAAAUUGACCUGAAGACUGACAGAACAAAUUCUACAAUUAAAGGGGGGAGAGGAGACCAUAUAGAAGAAGGCAAAGACUUAGACAAAGUGCCAAGAUGGAGGAAUCCAUCCCAAAUGAAAGAACAAGAUAAGGACAUGGCCAGAGAUCUAGGUGAAACAGAUAUAAGUAACGUGGUUCAUGGAUAAUUUAAAGCAACAAUCAUAAGGAUACUCACUGGGCUUGAGAAAAGAAUGGAAGACAUCAGUGAGACCCUUACCACAGAGAUGAGUUAAAAAAAAUCAGAAAUGAAGAAUGCAGUGAAUGAGACUGGAGAUGCAAUGAACAGCAGUCUGGAAGAAGAAUGAAUAGGUGAUAUAGAAGAAAAAAUAACGAAAAAUGAUGAAGCUGAACAAGAGAGAAUUAUGCAACAUGAGAAUAGACUUAGGAAAUUCAGUGACUCCAUCAAACAAAUAUAAUAACAUUCAUAUUCUAGGAGUCCCAGAAGAAGAGUGAGAAAAGGGGCCAGAAAAUGUACUUGAAGAAAUAAUAGCUAAAAACUUUUCUAAUUUGGGGAAGGAAACAGAUAUCCAGAUCCAGAAGGCACAGAGAACUCCCAUCAAAAUCAACAAAAGCAACCCACAUUAAGGCAUAUUUGUAAAACAAAGUGAUUAAAAAAUCUUAAAAGCAGCAAGACAAAAGAAGUUCUUAACAAGAGAAAACCCCAUAAGGCUAACUGCAGAUUUCUCAACAGAAACUUGGCAGGGAAUGGCAUGACAUAUUCAAAGUGCUGAAUAGGAAAAUACAGUAGCCAAGAACACUCUACCUAGAAAGGCCUACUCAUUCAGAAUAGAGAGUGUGUCCCAAAUAAAAACUAAAGGAGUUUGUGACCACUAAACUAGCCCUACAAGAAAUAUUAAUGAUGACUACAUGAGUGGGGGGAAAAAGAGACCAAAAGUGACCAAGACAAAGGAUCAGAGAAAAUCUGUAGAGACCACAACAAGUAAUAAAAUGGCAAUAAAUAAAUAUCAAUUAUUUUGAAUGUAAAUGGACUAAGGGCUCCAAUAAAAAAAAAAGGGUGUCAAUGGGUAAGAAAAAAAGACCCAUCUAUAUAUUGCCUACAAGAGACUCAUGUUAGACAUAAAGACACCUGCAGAUUGAGGAAGUUGAGAAACAAUUAUCAUGCAAACGAAUGUCAAAAGUAAUACUUAACAUCAGACAAACUAGACUUCUUUGUUAUUGUUUUUAUUCUGCUUUGGUAUCAGUGUUAAUACUGGCCUCAUAGAAUGAUUAUGAAUGUUUCCUCUAUUCCAAAUUUGUAAGAUUUUGAUAAAUACUGUCAUUAGUUUUUUUGUUUUUUGAUGUUUGGUGGAAUUCAAUGAAACCAUGUAGUCUUAGAUUUUUUUGUCCUGGGAGAUGUUUGAUUCCUAAUUCAACUUUCAUUCUUGCUACUGAUCUAAGAUGAUUUCCUAUUUUUUGGAUUCAAGAUUCAUGAUUCAAUCUUGGUAACUUGUGCAUUUUUAAGGAAUUAUCUGUUUUUCUGAAGUUAUCUUGGUGUGAUAAGAUUACUAUAAACAGUAUUAUACUAUGUA
This is a long non-coding RNA of Neofelis nebulosa (Clouded leopard), 1834 nucleotides long. RefSeq lists it as uncharacterized. NCBI's taxonomy places the organism in Eukaryota, Metazoa, Chordata, Mammalia, Carnivora, Felidae. The record is from RefSeq and is a predicted model, not a curated record. The transcript has 3 exons.